CUCUUUCUUUUCUCAUUAUUAUAUAAGCCUAGAAUAUGUCAAACACAAGAAGGGGAGGGGAGUAGCCAGUCAGUGACUGGGGGCCACUUAGGAGGGCCCAAGGGAAAGAACGCUCCCAGGAAAGAGGGUGGGGUCCAAAGUCUUAAUACAAGAGAGUAAACAGAAAGCCCUGCCAAGGAAAGCCCAGAUCAUGGGGCCCGACAGCCAGAUCCAAAGAGUUAGACAGGAAGCAGAGAAGAAAUUUGUAGCAGAGGUUCAAAGAUGUAGAGAUUGUCUAGAGUUAUAAAGAAUGUAUUUCUAAGCAGAGGAGUAGGUAUGAGUGAGAUGAUAGUUUGCCAUGCAAUUUUGAUGUGAAGGUCACGUUUUCUACAGUGCAAUGGGGGGGGGGGGGUGUCAUACAACAUCCUCCGUGUUCCCAACUGCAGUAGCACUAGAUGAUCUGGAGCAAAACAAUCUUAUUUGCUCUUUCGUCCGUCCUUCCUUCCUUCCUUCCUUCCUUCCUUCCUUCCUUCCUUCCUUCCUUCCUUCCUCUUCCUUCCUUCCUCUUUCUUUCUUUCUUUCUUUCUUUCUUUCUUUCUUUCUUCCUUCCUUCCUUCCUUCCUUCCUUCCUUCCUUCCUUUCUCUUCCUUCCUUUCUUUCUUUCUCUUCCCUUCCCCUUCCUUCCUUCCUUCCUUCCUUCCUUCCUUCCUUCCUUCCUUCCUUCCUUCCUUCCUUCCUUCCUUCCUUCCUUCCUUCGCAGCUAUGAUACAUCUGAAGCCAGACUUGAGCCCAGGAUGUCUCAUCUCCAGGCCUCGCUCUCUAUCCAUUGAGCCACUUAGGUGCCCCCGAGAGGCUCAGUUUCAAUGAAGAGAAUCAGGGAAGUCAUCAUGGAGGAGGCAAAAACUAUAGUGGAAAAUUCUGCUAUCAGGGCAUCAAUGGAAUAUAGGCUUCUUGAGGGAAUGGACUGAUUUAUUUGUUUCUUUCUUUUGGGGACUGUUCCUUGUUUAAUCUUGUAUCCUUGCCAUCUAGAUAGUACACUGCAUAGAGUAAAUACUUAAAAAAAAUUUUAAUUGGUUAGACUGAUUCAGACUGGCACUGAGGCUUGGAGUAGGUCUUAAAAGAUGGGUAAGAAUGGAUAAAGGAUAGGAUUUGGGGGCAGCUAGGUGGUUCAGUGGACUGAGAGCCAGAGAUGCUUCGAGAUAGGAAGUUCUGGGUUCAAAUCUGACCUCAGACACUUCUCAGCUGUGUGUCCCUGGGAAAGUCACUUCGCCUCCAAUGCCUAGCCUUUACUGCUCUUCUACCUUGGAACCAAUACAAAGUAUUGAUUCUAAAAUGGAAACUAAGGUUUAAAAAAAGAAAAGAAAAAGUAAACGAAAGGCUAGGAUUUACCUAGGUAGAGGUGGGAAGGUCAGAAGGACAAGUCAGGUAGCAGUAACUGAAUGAGCAAAGUAUGGAAGUAACAGCCUGAAGUUUUCAUUUGAGGCACUGCAAAUAGCUGAGGCUGGCCGGAACAGAGGGGAGGUUGGAUUGGUUAAUUUCUUAGGGCUUUUCUAACUCUAAAUCAUGUGACUCUAUAAUCUUAUGUAAAGGACCAGUGAGCAAUAUAGCUGGAAAGAUAGGCUAAGGACAGAACAGAAUGGGCUUUGAAUUCCACACAUUUCACAGGGUGAGUGGCUACGGAUUUCUGAGCAGGAGGUUGAUACAAUCGAAACAGUACUUGGAGGAGAAUUAAUCUGUAAAAAUGAAUCGGAUGAAGAGAAAGUAUGGAGCCAGGAAGAGUUGUUAGAAAGCUAUUGCAAUCUGGCUAGAGAUGAUAAGAGCCUAAAGUACAGCUGGGGGAGUGGCAGUGGAAGGGAGGAGACAGAUGCAAGAAAUAUUGCCAAGGAAGGCAGGAUGUAGAGGUUGCACGUAUGUGUAGAGGGGCUCUCAAGCCAUAGCAGAAGAAAGAGGGAAGUCAGGAGCAGGGGAUGGAAGGUGGGGAAGAAGGCGGGAGUGAUCAGUUUUGUGUUAGACAGGUUGAGUGUGAGAUGCUGAUGGGACUAGAAGAGGUCCAGCCGGGUAGCCAGAAAUGUGGGACUGAAGCUCUCUCCUCAGGGGAAGGGGAGUAAUGGCGGAUCGAAGGACUCUUAGAGCUGGACGGUACUUCUGGGGUGAUUUUACCCAACCUCUGUUUCACGCGUGAGAAAACGAGGUCUGUGCAACAAUCUAAAGUGGCUUGUCCAGUCCAGAAAUCAAUGAAAAAGUUCUGGCUUGAUCCAGGUCUUUAGAAUGCUAAUCCAGCAAGCUUCUGGCAAAACCCCAAAGCCACACAGAGAACAAAUGCAGGUCCUACAUAGUCAUCAUUUAAAAACAAACAAACAAACAAAAAAAGGCUUUCAAAAAGCAAGAUGGAUAAACUUCAUGAAUUUUAAAUAAUGAGACACCAGAAGACAGUCUCAGUGAAUAAACACUUAUUAAGAGCCUACUGUGUGCCA
RNAcentral lists this long non-coding RNA (2453 nucleotides) under Monodelphis domestica (gray short-tailed opossum). Its description in RNAcentral is "lncRNA (ENSMODG00000050443.1)". Lineage: Eukaryota; Metazoa; Chordata; Mammalia; Didelphimorphia; Didelphidae. The record is from RNAcentral.